AUUGAACGCUGGCGGCAGGCUUAACGCAUGCAAGUCGAACGGUAACAUAAAGAAGCUUGCUUCUUUGAUGACGAGUGGCGGACGGGUGAGUAAUGCUUGGGAAUCUAGCUUAUGGAGGGGGAUAACUACGGGAAACUGUAGCUAAUACCGCGUAGAAUCGAGAGAUGAAAGUGUGGGACCUUCGGGCCACAUGCCAUAGGAUGAGCCCAAGUGGGAUUAGGUAGUUGGUGAGGUAAAGGCUCACCAAGCCGACGAUCUCUAGCUGGUCUGAGAGGAUGACCAGCCACACUGGGACUGAGACACGGCCCAGACUCCUACGGGAGGCAGCAGUGGGGAAUAUUGCGCAAUGGGGGCAACCCUGACGCAGCCAUGCCGCGUGAAUGAAGAAGGCCUUCGGGUUGUAAAGUUCUUUCGGUAGCGAGGAAGGCAUUUAGUUUAAUAGACUAGGUGAUUGACGUUAACUACAGAAGAAGCACCGGCUAACUCCGUGCCAGCAGCCGCGGUAAUACGGAGGGUGCGAGCGUUAAUCGGAAUAACUGGGCGUAAAGGGCACGCAGGCGGUGACUUAAGUGAGGUGUGAAAGCCCCGGGCUUAACCUGGGAAUUGCAUUUCAUACUGGGUCGCUAGAGUACUUUAGGGAGGGGUAGAAUUCCACGUGUAGCGGUGAAAUGCGUAGAGAUGUGGAGGAAUACCGAAGGCGAAGGCAGCCCCUUGGGAAUGUACUGACGCUCAUGUGCGAAAGCGUGGGGAGCAAACAGG
This 759-nucleotide ribosomal RNA is filed under the name Parahaemophilus parainfluenzae. RNAcentral describes it as "Haemophilus parainfluenzae bacterial SSU rRNA". It matches the Rfam family "Bacterial small subunit ribosomal RNA", at positions 28 to 776 of the family's 1533-position model. The record is from RNAcentral. Lineage: Bacteria; Pseudomonadati; Pseudomonadota; Gammaproteobacteria; Pasteurellales; Pasteurellaceae.